CUACGGGUCGCUGCAGUGAGGAAUAUUGCACAAUGGGGGGAACCCUGAUGCAGCAACGCCGCGUGGAGGAUGACGCAUUUCGGUGUGUAAACUCCUUUUAUAUGUCAAGAAAAUGACGGUAGCAUAUGAAUAAGCACCGGCUAACUCCGUGCCAGCAGCCGCGGUAAUACGGAGGGUGCAAGCGUUACUCGGAAUCACUGGGCGUAAAGGACGCGUAGGCGGGUUGGAAAGUCAGGUGUGAAAUCCUACAGCUUAACUGGAGAACUGCACUUGAAACUUCUAAUCUAGAGUAUGGGAGGGGGAGAUGGAAUUAGUGGUGUAGGGGUAAAAUCCGUAGAUAUCACUAGGAAUACCUAAAACGAAGGCGAUCUCCUGGAACAUUACUGACGCUAAGGCGUGAAAGCGUGGGGAGCAAACAGGAUUAGAUACCCGCGUAGUC
This 439-nucleotide ribosomal RNA is filed under the name uncultured bacterium. RNAcentral's name for it is "partial 16S ribosomal RNA". It matches the Rfam family "Bacterial small subunit ribosomal RNA", at positions 339 to 795 of the family's 1533-position model. The record is from RNAcentral.